RNAcentral lists this long non-coding RNA (595 nucleotides) under Homo sapiens (human). Its description in RNAcentral is "non-protein coding lnc-SLF1-11:1". The record is from RNAcentral. Lineage: Eukaryota; Metazoa; Chordata; Mammalia; Primates; Hominidae.
AAAGCAUGGGAAAAAGAGACUCUUUUAGGAUCAGAUCUGUGAGCACGUUGGCGAGGAAAAACAAAACAAACAAAAAAAAGAACCUUGUGUCUGUCUGGUGAAAAAAAGAAAAACAAAUUGGAAGAGAGGACCAUGAGAAUUUUAAUAAAACAGAAGGAAACUAAUGGACCUUCCAGGAUUUAUUGUGGACGGAUGUGGAUAUAUUCUGUACAGGAACAACACAUAUGGAAGUGGACUGAAGCCUAUGUAGAAACACACACACACUGAACAUUGUUAUUCAUUUUGUAAAAUACUAGUCUUUAUUUUCAUUUUUUGUAAAAUUUAAACAUCGUAUGCGCAUAAAGAAAAAGGAAACAAGAAUUAGGGGAAAAUAACAUUUUCCAAAUAAUUAUAAAAAAUUGUCCUGUGUCUAUGUAUCUAUAUCUGUUUUGUAUUUUUUUCUGGUUCCAAACCAGAUUUCCUGUGAUUCUAUACUAAUAAUUUUUGAUAUAACCCUUUGCUUCUUAUAAUGAGUGCGAUAUAUGUUGUCGAGGCUGUUCUUCAAGAAUUAAAAUUGAAGUGAAAAUUUAAACAAAAAUAAAAGAAUUUAGCAAAA